CCAGGAGGGGUGGGCAACCACUGGCCCGUGGAUCCCCCGAGGUUUUCUUCUCCCUCAACCUUCAAUUCGGAGUUUUUGUUCCUUUCCCCGGUGGCCAUUCCACAGGGAAAGAAAAGGUGAACGAGGAGUGGAAAACAACAGCCCUCCUUCUAAACUUUCUUCUGUGCACAACUACGAUUCUUUGGAAGAGUGUGGUUUUCUUUGAGCCUCGGGAAUUUCCAGGUCACUCACUGCAUACAGC
RNAcentral lists this long non-coding RNA (241 nucleotides) under Scleropages formosus (Asian bonytongue). RNAcentral describes it as "lncRNA (ENSSFOG00015031554.1)". Lineage: Eukaryota; Metazoa; Chordata; Actinopteri; Osteoglossiformes; Osteoglossidae. The record is from RNAcentral.